This 178-nucleotide ribosomal RNA is filed under the name Staphylococcus aureus. Its description in RNAcentral is "partial 23S ribosomal RNA". It matches the Rfam family "Bacterial large subunit ribosomal RNA", at positions 2770 to 2925 of the family's 2925-position model. Lineage: Bacteria; Bacillati; Bacillota; Bacilli; Caryophanales; Staphylococcaceae. The record is from RNAcentral.
GCUGAAAGCAUCUAAGCACGAAACUUGCCCCGAGAUGAGUUCUCCCUGACUCCUUGAGAGUCCUGAAGGAACGUUGAAGACGACGACGUUGAUAGGCCGGGUGUGUAAGCGCAGCGAUGCGUUGAGCUAACCGGUACUAAUGAACCGUGAGGCUUAACCUUACAACGCCGAAGCUGUU